This 80-nucleotide transfer RNA is filed under the name Cuscuta volcanica. Its description in RNAcentral is "tRNA-Leu". It matches the Rfam family "tRNA". From Rfam's summary of the family: Transfer RNA (tRNA) molecules are approximately 80 nucleotides in length. The record is from RNAcentral. Lineage: Eukaryota; Viridiplantae; Streptophyta; Magnoliopsida; Solanales; Convolvulaceae.
GCCGCUAUGGUGAAAGUGGUAGACACGCUGCUCUUAGGAAGCAGUGCUAGCGCAUCUCGGUUCAAGUCCGAGUAGCGGCA